Molecule: ribosomal RNA, 573 nt
Filed under: Aureobasidium pullulans
Lineage: Eukaryota; Fungi; Ascomycota; Dothideomycetes; Dothideales; Saccotheciaceae
Description: eukaryotic LSU rRNA
Rfam family: Eukaryotic large subunit ribosomal RNA
Source: RNAcentral
UUGCAUAUCAAUAAGCGGAGGAAAAGAAACCAACAGGGAUUGCCCUAGUAACGGCGAGUGAAGCGGCAACAGCUCAAAUUUGAAAGCUGGCCUUCGGGUCCGCAUUGUAAUUUGUAGAGGAUGCUUUGGGUGAAACGCCAGUCUAAGUUCCUUGGAACAGGACGUCAUAGAGGGUGAGAAUCCCGUAUGUGACUGGAAAUGUUAACCUAUGUAAAGCUCCUUCGACGAGUCGAGUUGUUUGGGAAUGCAGCUCUAAAUGGGAGGUAAAUUUCUUCUAAAGCUAAAUAUUGGCGAGAGACCGAUAGCGCACAAGUAGAGUGAUCGAAAGAUGAAAAGCACUUUGGAAAGAGAGUUAAAAAGCACGUGAAAUUGUUGAAAGGGAAGCGCUUGCAAUCAGACUUGUUUAAACUGUUCGGCCGGUCUUCUGACCGGUUUACUCAGUUUGGACAGGCCAGCAUCAGUUUCGGCGGCCGGAUAAAGGCUCUGGGAAUGUGGCCUUCACUUCGGUGAAGGUGUUAUAGCCCAGGGUGUAAUACGGCCAGCCGGGACUGAGGUCCGCGCUCGGCUAGAUGC